CGUGCCUAAUACAUGCAAGUCGAACGCCAUUGUGGUUGAAAUGAUAUGAAGAACUUGUUCAGAUUUGAUUUUCAACAUUGCAAUGAGUGGCGAACGGGUGAGUAACACGUGGGAAACCUACCUCUUAGCAGGGGAUAACAUUUGGAAACAAAUGCUAAUACCGUAUAAUAAUUAAAACCGCAUGGUUUUAGUUUAAAAGAUGGUCUUGCUAUCACUAAGAGAUGGUCCCGCAGUGUAUUAGUUAGUUGGUGAGGUAAUGGCUCACCAAGACAAUGAUACAUAGCCGAGUUGAGAGACUGACCGGCCACAAUGGGACUGAGACACGGCCCAUACUCCUACGGGAGGCAGCAGUAGGGAAUCUUCCACAAUGGACGAAAGUCUGAUGGAGCAACGCCGCGUGUGUGAUGAAGGGUUUCGGCUCGUAAAACACUGUUGUAAGAGAAGAAUGACAUUGAGAGUAACUGUUCAAUGUGUGACGGUAUCUUACCAGAAAGGAACGGCUAAACACGUG
This 511-nucleotide ribosomal RNA is filed under the name uncultured bacterium. Its description in RNAcentral is "bacterial SSU rRNA". It matches the Rfam family "Bacterial small subunit ribosomal RNA", at positions 43 to 507 of the family's 1533-position model. The record is from RNAcentral.